UAAAAGGUCCUUUUCAGGCCCACACACUCUUUGAGACCAGGGUUGU
Bos taurus (domestic cattle) is the source of this 46-nucleotide non-coding RNA. Lineage: Eukaryota; Metazoa; Chordata; Mammalia; Artiodactyla; Bovidae. The record is from Rfam.